UGAGGAUAACCCAUGGAUCCCAGCUACUGACUGUCAGUGAUGCGGCAUGAAGCUGAGU
This 58-nucleotide small nucleolar RNA is filed under the name Euglena gracilis. RNAcentral describes it as "Eg-m83". Lineage: Eukaryota; Euglenozoa; Euglenophyceae; Euglenales; Euglenaceae. The record is from RNAcentral.